This 440-nucleotide ribosomal RNA is filed under the name uncultured bacterium. Its description in RNAcentral is "partial 16S ribosomal RNA". It matches the Rfam family "Bacterial small subunit ribosomal RNA", at positions 338 to 795 of the family's 1533-position model. The record is from RNAcentral.
CCUACGGGAGGCAGCAGUGGGGAAUAUUGCACAAUGGGGGAAACCCUGAUGCAGCGACGCCGCGUGAGUGAAGAAGUAAUUCGUUAUGUAAAGCUCUAUCAGCAGGGAAGAAAAUGACGGUACCUGAGUAAGAAGCCCCGGCUAACGACGUGCCAGCAGCCGCGGUAAUACGUAGGGUGCAAGCGUUAUCCGGAUUUACUGGGUGGAAAGGGAGCGUAGACGGCAGUGCAAGUCUGGAGUGAAAGGCGGGGGCUCAACCCCCGGACUGGACUGGAAACUGUACGGCUGGAGUGCAGGAGAGGUAAGUGGAAUUCCUGGUGUAGCGGUGAAAUGCGUAGAUAUUACGAAGAACACCAGUGGCGAAGGCGGCUUACUGGACUGUAACUGACGUUGAGGCUCGAAAGCGUGGGGAGCAAACAGGAUUAGAUACCCCUGUAGUC